RNAcentral lists this ribosomal RNA (429 nucleotides) under Actinomycetes bacterium. RNAcentral's name for it is "Actinobacteria bacterium partial 16S ribosomal RNA". It matches the Rfam family "Bacterial small subunit ribosomal RNA", at positions 355 to 776 of the family's 1533-position model. The record is from RNAcentral. Lineage: Bacteria; Bacillati; Actinomycetota; Actinomycetes.
UAGGGAAUCUUCCGCAAUGGGCGAAAGCCUGACGGAGCAACGCCGCGUGAGUGAUGAAGGUCUUCGGAUCGUAAAACUCUGUUAUUAGGGAAGAACAAAUGUGUAAGUAACUAUGCACGUCUUGACGGUACCUAAUCAGAAAGCCACGGCUAACUACGUGCCAGCAGCCGCGGUAAUACGUAGGUGGCAAGCGUUAUCCGGAAUUAUUGGGCGUAAAGCGCGCGUAGGCGGUUUUUUAAGUCUGAUGUGAAAGCCCCCGGCUCAACCGUGGAGGGUCAUUGGAAACUGGAAAACUUGAGUGCAGAAGAGGAAAGUGGAAUUCCAUGUGUAGCGGUGAAAUGCGCAGAGAUAUGGAGGAACACCAGUGGCGAAGGCGACUUUCUGGUCUGUAACUGACGCUGAUGGGCGAAAGCGUGGGGAUCAAACAGG